Camelus dromedarius (Arabian camel) is the source of this 13039-nucleotide RNA transcript. RefSeq lists it as uncharacterized. NCBI's taxonomy places the organism in Eukaryota, Metazoa, Chordata, Mammalia, Artiodactyla, Camelidae. The record is from RefSeq and is a predicted model, not a curated record. The transcript is spliced from 4 exons.
GGGCUCUGGGAGGCCUCGUUGGUAUUCUGGGCACAGCCGAAGCCCUGACCUCCCCGCGGAACAGGGGCGCCCGGGAGCGCGGCACGGCCGCCGCCCCCGGGCGGUCCCCCGGGCUGUGGGGCCGUAGGCGCCUUGCUCCCCCCACCCAUCCCCUCCUCUCCAGGUCCCCCGUACCCCCUCCCCCGCCCUGAUCCGGCGGCGAAGGGGUGGGCAGGGAAACGCGCUCUCUGGGACAGGUGCCAACUCCGAGACAAAAGACAUAAAAUAGGCGGCAACGGGGGAAGCGCGGCCGGCGCGCUCGGGCGGGGACGGAGGCGCCGCGGGGGCCGCAUCCUCGGUGCCGACCGGGGAAAGUUUGGGAAGUCGCCGCGGCGGCUUCGCAGCGGCGGGGGACACACGGGCCAGGCCGCCCUCCGCGCCGCGCUUGCCCUCUCCGCGCCGCUGCUGAAUAAUUCAUGGCGCGGUCGCCGGCCAUUAGCAUGCACCGGGCGCGCGGUGCGUCUGUGCCCAGCCGCCGCCGCCGCAUUCGGCGCCCUGGCCGCGGUAGAUGAGCGGCCGCGCGGAGGCCGGGCCCGCGCUGUCCCCGCGCUCGCCCUCCGGUCUGCCUGCCCGAAGGCUCCCAUUGUGCCCCGGGCCCGCGCCGCUCGGCCGUCCUGUGACUGCCCGCACCCCGCAGCGCGCCCGACGGCCGGGCGCUGGAAGUUCGGACCCCGGGCACCCGCCCGCCCGCCCUGGGAUGCACGUGAACUUGGAGAAAGUCGCGGGGCGCGCCAGCGCGGACCUCCGCGGCAGGGCGUGGGCGCCCCUGGCCCGGCGCGCUUUCGUUUUCGUCCCGGACAAAGGUCCUUCGCGUUGCAGGUCACGGACGUGGAGACCGUGUACUGCGGGGUACUCUUCGGGGAAGUCCAGUUGUUCAAGACAGGGAAGCCGGAGCCGGGAGGAGAGGAGCAGCGCGGUCCGAUGCGCGGUGCGGGACCAGGGAAGUGGGGCCUGGCCGUGUGCUUCGCCCGCGCGGUCCCGGAGCUGUCCGGCCCUGCGAAGAGUUGCGGGAGAUGGCAUCGCUUUGCUCUCUGCCCUUCCGACGGGUGAAGGAGAGAAUCAUCCGGAACCCAGGACUCAGACCGAGGGCCUGUGCAGCCGUGGGCACGACAGCGCAGCGCUGGCCGCGUCCGGGCGGGCGCGUCCCUCCGGCAAGGGCAGAGCAGCCGACCAGCGCGCCCCAGUCUCGGUCGGGUUCAAGUCGACUCUUGGGGACGGUAAGUGGAUUUCUCACUUUCGCUACUUAGUGAAUAUUUAAAUAUUAAUGAAGGGAUUUCUAAGAAGAUCCCUUCUGUAGAGCAGGCCUUCCACAGACGAGGGGACACGGGAAGGAGGUUGUUCUUGAAACUGAAGCCGCACCAGCAGCUUUCAAGAACUCCAGGGCCGGCAUGAAAAUUCUGCAACUUGGAAUUUGUGAAAUACAGCUUCUGAUCUCAGGUGUGCAGGCCGUUUGCCAGGGAGAAUUAUGUUGAACACGUAAAACAGCGUCCGCAGGCAUCUUAAAAAGAACAGAAAGAAAAGAGCAAGCAUCUGUUUUUAGAUUAGAUGUUUGGAAGGGUUAUUUGGAAGCUACAGUCAUUUCUUGAAAAAUUGAAAUCUUUCAUUCAUUUCCUAAACCAGCAGCGACUUUUUUUUCCUGCUGGUCAGGCGUUCAUGAAGAGCUGGUUUAGGGCGGCCCUGGGUCAGGCAUUGGCCGAAUGGGCCGGUGGAGUGAAAGGCCUGUGUGUGGAAGCUGGUGUUUAUGGUGGCAUAAAACGAAAAGCAACUCAUAACUUUUCAUAAUAAAUCCCCCUUUAUAGGUGGCUCACACACAGGCCCAGCCUGCAGCCCUGGGGAAUUUGUGGGGAGCAGAGAGGGGCAGGGGUGAAGGAAUGCAUGUUUGCCAUAAUUACAGGGUUUUAAAGUAACACUGAAAUUAAUUUCUUCAAAGUUGGGCUUUAGAGGCCAGGGCAGUCUCUGUAGGCCAGCACCACAUUCGUUUUAUUUUGGGUCGUUGGUUCUAACUAUUUGGGAUUUUUAAAAUGCAGGUUUGUACUUGCAUGUACCUAUCCCCUUAAAAUGAAACCCGUAAGUUGGGGGGGGGGGUUAAGCCCCCUUUUAAAUAUGAUUGUAUCACAGGUGUGAUUUCCCCUUUACUCACCUCCAUCUGAUUGAUGUGGUUUGGAUAACCUAGCUGGAUGCUCUGACCACAAAAUAAUGGGGGGGGGCCCUGUUUCCAGACACCCCAGAGCUGUGAGCUGGCACUUGGAGGCCAUGUUUCCGGGAACGUGGACAGAGGCCUGAGUGGCCCAGGCCUGCCUCACGCCUCCCUUUCCCUCGGCUGCCUGGUGUCUAGAUCUGAGGGGAGAACCAUUUCAAUAAGGUCUUGCCCACCUGGCACCGAGGCUGAAAGUUUGCUUUGUACUGCAGAGCUGGCUUCGCCAUCUUUUUCGCUAGGCCGUCUAUGCCCCCAGUCCCCCGUUUUGAAUUUGUAUUUAUGACUUUGUCAGAGGCAGUUGGCAGACAUGAAACCUGGGGUGGGACAUUCAGGAGUGAUCUUAGAAACCAGGGGGCACAGCUGCCAAGGCGUGCCACUCCAGCCCGGAGCUGCUGUUCGCCUGGCAUUGGCGGUGAUGGGUUUCCUAAUUAUAAAAAGCCCAAGUUCCGUCAAGCGUUGUCUGUAAAAUGUGGGAGACGCCUUCUCAGGUCCACAGAUGACCUGUAGCAUGCUGCAUGGGGCGCAGGGUGGUGUGGCAUUAUGCUUGGGCUGUUGGGUAACCCCCGGGAUUAAAACAGACCCUGAAACAAGGGGCAUCGGUUGCUCCCUCUCCACAGGCCUAUGGGCCAGACACUGGGAGCAGGGAAAGGCCUGAGCAUCUGAGGAAGCCCCCCUAGGGCCACUUGGAGGGGGGUGCUAGUCAUCAAAGAUCUGGAGGCCCACCUCCUGCCCCAAGGGUGCCCCUGGCACAAGGAAUGUGAUAGGGCUGAGAGUCCAUGGCAGACAGUGGGCCCUGCCCACAGACAGAGGUCCUGCCUUUGUCCUUGUCCUUAGAGCCAGCCCAGUUCCACUGGAGACUCCCCAUGGAGACUCGGGUCCUACCAGGGUUGUCUUCCUGCGUUGGGAUGUCUCAUCUGGGCAAAAUUUAUUUUUGAGGACACGCACAUGAGAGAUGAGGUUCUGAAAAUGAAACUGGCACCUGUCUGUUCUUUAUCACUCUGGAUUUAAUAGGAAGAAUGUGUUAAGCGGGGGCCAGGGCCUUAUGGACUGUGGUGAGCUGGCGGGAGGAUGGCCCUGGUGUUCCUGCUUUCUGUUUUAAACCAGAACCAACCCCAGGGAGGGCCCUGGCCUGUACUGAGGCUUCACCAUGCCCAGCCUCUGGCCACUUGAGGCCCCAGGUCCCCGGCCUCGUCGUCUUCGGGAUGCUGGGGAGGCCAGCAGCUCAGUGCAGGCCGUGUGUGGUGAUGAGGCCCCCACCGUGCCCGGGUCUGUAUGCCGCCUGAACACGUGCAGAUGGCAUUUUGCUUCGCUCAGAGGGAACAGCAGGGAGCUCUGCAGCCUGGUUCCUCUUGAGUACCUGUGGUUUGCACCUCGCUGGGGCCGAUCUCACAGGCUUGCAUCCUCAGAUGGGCGCUGGGGCCUGCUCCACCCUGGUGUGGCAGGCAGCCUGUGGGGCCGGGGAGGGGUAAAGGGCUUUGCCCACCCUGACAGGCACCCUGCGUGGGUGGGUGCUCCUUGGUGUGCAGGGAAAUGGACAUGUGCCCCCAGUGAGGGGCAGUGCUCAGGAAGGAGAGGAGGCCCCACAGGCCAGGCAGGCAGACAUUUUAAAACCAUCACACUUGGCUGAUGUUGGGCUGGGAGGGUGUAUUUGCAUGUUUGGGGAGGAUAGAGACUACCCUUGCAGAAUUCCCAUAAAGCCAGGGUGUCCUAGCUCACAUCUGGCGGCUCCGAUCCAGUCCCUGCCACUAGCUUGCCAUGUGGCCUUGGACAAGGCACAUUACCUCCCUGGAGUGUACCCCAAGCUCUAGAGCAGGAAUCAUAAUUCCGACCUCAGAGGGCCAUUGGGAAGGUUCAGACGACGUUAAUUCCACAAACCACGGUUUCUGGCACGUGGCGGGGACGCCGUAAAUGGCUGUCACCGUAAUUGUUUUUGUUGUAAAUGGUAAUCGCCAUUUUUAUUGCUAAUUAUUAUUACAUUUUCAAGUUUUUAAGAAACAGAGAGCCCAGUUUUGGUUUCACUAGACAGGACACCUGGGAGUUAACCUCCCCCUCCUUCCUCCACCCAGGUGGUAGCGAAAGUGAACCUUGGUAUUUUCAAGGCAGACUGUCAGGAGUUGCGAAGCCUGGGCCUUCCCUGUCACUUGGCUGAGAAGCGCUGGGUCCCCUUGGGGUCCCGGGAUGUGCUCACGGAGGAGAAACACCUUUUAGAAAUGGGCCCCCCCCCCCAGAAUGGCACUUGAGCUCACCUGGGUGCUGGCCCCUGGGAGUCUGACCAGGGACAGACCAGGGCUUGGGGGUCCAGAGUGGCCACGCCAGCCACGGUGUCCUUGUCCGCAACGCGGGUGGCAGUUUGGUGGGAGGAAUUUUCACCACUCUGACAAGCUAAUUGUUUUUUUGGCCCCAUACAAGCGUGCGUUUACCAAAACGCUUGCUUUGGGAGAAUUUUAUCUCUUAGCUGAUCAUCCAGGAAGACUCAGCAAGAUUGCCCUUUCUCAAAACAUCUUGUUGGAACAAGAAAGAACCCCAGAUGGCAUUGGCCAUGCUUUCUGAUGUUAUGGAGCCGAGGAGGGAGAAAAAGCAACAAUUGUCUCUGAGCAAAGACAAUGGACCUUUUAUAUGAAAUAUUUAUUUUCAGGGCCGACCAGUGUCCCGUUGGCUGGGACCGCAGAGCACCAGUGUCUGGGCAUCCCGGGCCCUGAGAACUCAGUCAGGGACGAGAUUUACAGAAAAGGAAAAAAGAAAGUCCCCUGACCUGCGGUUCUUGGGAAAUUUCGGUGGCAAUGUCUGGCUUUCUUUAUCGAAUGGAGUUUAAACUUUCGCAAGUUUAUUUUUUCUUCCCCUGUGAUUUCUUUUGAAGGGCCACAGGGGCGUGUUGGCAAGCACCGUAAAGGUAGCCGGGUUUCAGAUCGUGGGUUGCACGGGCCCUCCCUCCGGCCAGGCCCAGUUGGCCUUUGUCUGCUGGAGGGUCGCAGAAUGGAAGUGAGGGAAACUGGAACUAAGAGGAAGGGUCUGUCCCCAGGGCGUCGAGGGGAAGCCACCAAGAGCAAAUUCAGAUAGUAUUCAUAGUUCUCUGGUGUCCUUUACUCCUCCCCAAAACCCCUUCUUCCGUGAACUUGGGUUUGGCCAGCAGGUUAUCAGAGAGUCUGGCCUGACUUGGCAGUGCCUCACAUAGGCCCUCAAACACCGACGUCCUCGGCUGGGCAAACCGGGCCCAGAGUUCACGCUGGAUGGACGUUUUCUGAACUGAUAGAAUGAGCAGAAUUUUACUCCAAGGCCUCUUCGCGAGCCAGCUCCCUCUUCCCCGCUCUGCAGCUGCAGGCAGUGCCGGAGCUGCCGACCCCGUGUCUUUCUCCUCCAGUCCCAGCUGUGGCGCAGCCGGGAAGGCACCCUGGGAAGCCAGGCCCGGAUCCCAGGCUCACGCCAGGAACCCCGGGAGGAACUGAUCAGGCUGGGCUUGGAAUCGGAACAUCGGGGAACCAGUCCCAGUGCUGGGGGAACGUUGGGAAGGCCGCAGUGGACAGUCGGCCGCAGACCCCCACCAGUGUCUGGCUGGUGGAGGACAGAAGAGGGAGUGGCCCUGAUCAGGGUGGGUGAUGAGGGACCCCUCUCUGCCAAGCCUCCCCUUUAUCCAAAAGACUUUUGGCAAAUUGUAAUACCUGACUUGCAAAGGCUUUGUUUUUAAAAUUGCUGUUGCAUUGUUUUUUUUUAAUCCUGGAACCUCUUAGCUGUGGUCUGUUUCACCUUCUGCAUUAACUGCCUCCCCCCCCCGCAAAUGCUAUGAAGAGAGCCCUGUUUGCGGGGAGUGGGGUAACCAUGACAGCCUCCGAGGCCACGUGUAGAAUGAGUAAAAUUGAAAUGGAAAAGACCGAAAUCUCACAUCAUGAGGCAGAGCUAUCCUAAAACAUAAGCUUUUAUUUACUUUUUUUUUUUUUUUUUUUUUUGGAGAGGGGCUUCAAAAGUAAAAUGCCGCACAGUCUUACUGUGACAUUUUGGAUGGGAAACGUGUGUUUGAGUCCGGAUUCAGGAGUCUUGCCUUUAGGGACAGCGGCUCAGAACCGCGUGGAUAAAUAAAUCGAGCGCCUCAGCAAACGGCCGGGCUCACUGUUUAACCAGCGCCUGAGAGGUUUUCCGAGCAGAGGUGUUACCAGUAGAGGCGUUGGUUACUGUCGCCAAAUGAGAUUGGUAGUUGUGGUUGGAAAAGGUGUGCAUGGGACGUACAAAGGAAAUGCCAAAUUUUCUUUUCUUCCUUUUUUUUAGGAGUGACAGAAUUUUCCCUUAAGAUAAAAAAAGAGUGUUGUCCCGAUGCUUUUGGUUUCUAACGCCAGGGCUGGGUUCUUCUGUGAAUUGCCUUUCCUUAAUUCUAAGAUUUCAGAUGGUAGGAAGAGCAUUUAGCUGAAAUAUUUACCUGCUGAUUCGUGGCUCUUAAAUCUAGAUUCGCCUUUCAUGUGUUUAAGAGCGAUAUUUACAUUCAAAUCAGCCUUUUAUAAUUACAUUUUAAAUUAUAAUGAAAUGAUGGAGCCGGGAUUCAGUCUUCCAUGGGUUUAAACAGUAAGAGACCAGCCUGGUCUAGGCUCCCGAGCAGGCAUGAGCAGGCAUCCGACAUGCAGGUACUGGCCUGCAGGGCCACUUGGGUGUCCUGAGCAUGCCAGGGUCCGUGCGUGUUACCUGCAGGGCCCUCCCUGCCCUGCCUGGAGGAGAAGGGCUCGUGGAUGGAGAUUCUGGCCCCGGCACAGUGGCGAUGCUGCCAAACCUGACGGGACACUGUUCAUUCUAUCUGAGAAGGGCCUGAUUGAGGCCUGGCUGCCCCGCCGCCCUGGCUGAUGUGUUGUAUCCCCAGCCCCACGCCCGCCCCAGGCUGGGGGUGGAGGGCGCUCUCUCCUGGGCAGCCAGCUGGGCACAGCAGCAGCCACUUCUGGUGGUGAUGAUACUGGGGGGGGGGGGGCAUGCCCACCUCCUCCUGCAGCUGUAACUCAGCUUCUGCCUCAUCUCCCCUGUCAGGGUGGCCCCCAAAUGGCUCUGCAGUUUUCAGUGGCUUCCCCUACAGAGCAUGGGGGACCCUCUCCUCCCGGGGCCGGGCUGUUGGCAGCUGGGCCAAGCUGUUCCUGGAAUUGAAUUCCCGGUGUUCCUGGUCGGGCGCGUGGCAUCGGAAUCCUACCUGCUUUGUCUCUGGCAUCAGCUGGAGAGCUAGUCACAUGGCCGUGUGCGUGAGACCGGAGCCGAGGACAGAGGGCUCCUCCCGGGUGCUUCCUUCCCGCUCACUCACUCCCCCCGCCCCCUUCGCUUUGGUCAUGGCGGUCUCAGAGCAGGCAUAAAGCAGUAUUCAAGUAAAACGUGCUCCAGGCAGUGGGGGAGCUCCCAUCCAUGGAUGCGGAGGUGUCCAGGUACCCCAAUACCUCCAAUCAUUACAGACAGGAAGGACCAUGAGCCGGGGCCCGUGUGUGGACUCCGGCCGUGAUGGCCCGGCCUCGGUCACUCCACUCCGUCUCUUCUACUCCCAGAGCUGGCCCUGCCUGCCCGGGGGCCCUGCCCACACUCACACUCUUGUGGCUCACCCUGCACAGGUCAGUGGUCAUCGCCUCAGCUCCUGGCCACAGAAAAGGCCGAAGGAAAGACCUGGGCAAACAGGUUGGCCGUGUGGCCAUGGCUCAGUGCCCUCAGGAAAAGGCUGGGAGUCUGAUAAAUCUCCAACUAAAAAUGCCCACGUUGAACCUCAAGGCCACUGACCCAGGUCAGAGGGCUGGAGCUCCCGUCCAGCACAGGUCACCGUUCCUCCCCGCGGUGGGGAUUUGCCAUGGUGAAACUGGUGGAUCUGUGAUGACUGGAAGGGGUGUGGUGACCUGCCUGGAGCCUGACCUGAAGUCCUCGCCACGGCCUGGCUGUGUGCAUUUUUCAUUGUGUCAUCGCAGCAGCCCCAAGCGGUAGGAGCCAUGAUCCCUAUGGAUGGGGAAACUGUAGACAGAUGGGGAAACUGAGGCUGGGUUGGGUGGCGUGGCUUGCUGAGGGUUGGGUGGCUGGUCAGACACAGGGCCGGGUUCCAAGGGGCGGCCCGGCUCUCAGCCUGAAUGGUACGGCCUCCUGAGGUGUUGGCUAGAGUGGGCUCGCGCUGCGGGCCGGGACCAGUGAGGUGGGGGCCCUCGGCCCUGGGGUGCUGGCCGCUGCCCGCCCCUCGGGCGGGCGCAGCGUGGGAACAAUGUGGCCUCUAUCCCGGGAGCAGCCCGGCCAGGCAGGCCGCCCGCAACAUGGCGCCCAGGGCCGCGCCGCCUGUCCACGGGGAGGGCUGGCGCCUGGGCCCGGCCCGGCUCCCGGCGUCCUCCUCGGGCUGGCCGCUGAGUGGCCAGACGCUCUUGCUGCCUCCUCCCUCCCACUCGGCCGCCCCCCUCCCCGGUGGUGGGUUUGGGGGUCCGGCCCACCCGCCUCUGCCACGUCUGCCAUCCUCCCGGCACCCAUGAGCAUCUUUCAAAAAUUCCCGGUGGGCGGGGCCGAGCCGCAGCGGCCGCCUCUGGCCCCCCCUCCCCAGGCAGCCAGUGCCAGAUGAGAGCAGGAGACAAAAGUAGCAUUUUCCUCGUCCUCCUGGGCUGGCAGCAGGGCCUCCCCAGCGCCACUUGGCUCCUGGCAGCCCUGCCUCCGGGUGCCGGGGUGGCCGAGGCGCAUGCCGCGCCGGCCAGGACCCAGGGACCGGCGGCCGGCGGUGGCCAGAGAUCAGGCGCCCGAGGGCCUGUCGGACGGGGGCUGGCACCUGGGGACGGCCUGCUGGCCAGCGGGACCUGCCCUCCUCUGCUUGCGCCGGUGACCAGCCGGGCGAGGGACCCGGUUUUCACUGCCUUGCUUUUGCGGAGCUCCCCAUCCUCCUGCGCCCGGGGUCUUGCCCCUCCUUCCCGGCCACCUUGUUGCCCCACUGAUGCCUGGAGCUUGGAUGACUGCGCCUCCUCCAGGCCCUGCCCCAGCUCUGGACCUGGCCGCCUCCAUCAUAGAGCAGGGCGCCACUGUGCCUGAGGUCAAGAAGGGGCGCUGAGAUGGGAGCUUCUGUCUGAGGCCGGCCUUCCUCACGGUGAGCUGAGCGUUAGGGCCCCACCUGUAGGGGCACCUCACUGCCCGCCCCCUUCUCCCCAGCCCAGCCACAACCCACGGGCCGCCUCGCUCUCUGGCCUCCUGCAGGAGACAGGCCAGCCGGCUUCCUGCCCCUGGCCUCAGAGUUGCUGCACAACCACUCCCGCGGAAUGCCCAGGGGCUCUCACAUCUGGCACCUCGGCAUGCCCCUCCUACGUCCUGGCUCCAGGAAGCAGGGAGCCAUGGGCAGUUUAUCAUGGGGAGGGAUGUGAUCAGAUCUGUGUCCUUCCCUUUCAUCUCUGGGCCCCGCUGUCACACACAGAGGUCCUUAGAUGGUGGUACUAGUGCCAAACCUUUGCCCAGGCUUAAGCCGUCCACCUGAAGCCACGUCUCCCCUUGUCCUCCUGCCACUGCUCAGCAGCAAACUCUCCCAGGUGGCUCACCUCACCUGCCCACAACACACUUGUGACCUUUGAGCUGUUGGUCUCUGAAGGCUCUCUGGCCACAGUCUGUCCCAGCAUCUGGAUGGAAGAGGAGCGCGGCCCCAUCUCACUCUGCCCAGCGAGGACUCCCCGCCGGCCUCACCCUGCACCCUUCUCGCCGCCCAGCCAUGCAUCAGCCCUCAAGUGUGGUCCUGAUAACACAGGCUGCCUGCCAUCCACCUGAGACGCACACGGUGAGUCUGGCCUGGAACAAGAAAGGCCAGAUGAGGGGACCAGGCACACCUGCUCCUCCCAGGCCGGGCUGGCGGCUUGGGGGCUUGCAGUGGCUGCGGGGGUGGACCAGGGUGUGUGUGCACGCACGUCUCCCUCUCUCCCCACGCCUUUCCUUGUCCCUUGGAGCCUAGCCUGGAGGCCAGCCCGUUGUGUGGCCCGUGGCCCCCAUCUCGGGCCGGGGCCCUCCUACGGGCAGCCGUGCAGGCACUGGAGCUGAAGCCCGGCCCCAGGGAGGACGAGCAGACGCAGGCCGCAGUGCAGGGGCUGUCAGAGUCCAAGCGCUGGGGCAUACGUGGAUUCUAGCUCGGGGUUAGUUAAGGUGGCCUGGCUGCAGGGCAGCUGCUGCAUCGACCCCAUAUCUGAGUGAGGAAAUCAGGCCCCACGAGGGCAUAAGAGGUGCCCGGAGAAGCCGAGCAAGGAGGCCACCUGGUCCAGCAGCCAGCUCCACCUGCUGGGCUGGCCUGCCUCAUACUGGGGCCGUGGUCAGAACCAGAUGGUCCCUGCAGCCUGAGAGCAUUGCAGUCUCGGGGGCUAAGUCAGGAGCCCAGAGCAUGCGCUCAGGGUGCCUCCCCUAGAGUCACUCUGAGACGUUUGGUGGAGCCCUGAGCUGGGCACCAGAUUCUUGGUCUGUUUCUUCCCCAGUGAUGAAGCCAGCGGCAGCCAGUCACCCCGCAGGGCAGCUGGGCAGGCAUCAGGCUACCUCUGCACAGAGCUAGGCUCUCCCCACCCGGACCACUCAUCAUUGCUGGGGGUGGGGAGAGUAUGUCAGAGGAAGACCCUUGGUCACUCUUCCCUCAACCCCAUCCCUAGAGGCUGGCUGGCUCUGCGUGGAGAGUCCUUGGGGACCUCCUGGUCCUGUUCACCGGCCAGGGAGUCCAAGUAGAAGCAGGAGAGCGGGACCCCGAGACCCUCUCAUGCAGAUUUCCCUCUGGGACCAUGAGGGAGACAGGCUGCCCAUGACCACGGGUUCCUGGGGGGCCAGGCUGUGUGGGGCACUGCUGGCUCCACUCCCAGGUGACUGCCCCGUGUUUCCCACUCUGGGUGGACCUGAUGUCCUCCUCACUGGCUGAGGGUUCUGGGACUCAUUCCAGGGUUUUUCAGGGAGCAGCAGCUGCCCUGAUUAUUGGGACUGGGCCUGAGGCCGCCCUCUGCAGUCGUGCGCACAGGCCAAGCUGGGAGAACCUAAGAGCAAGGCCCAUCUGAGGCUCAGUUUCCUCACUAUGGAAUGGGAUCAGUGAUCCUAGCUUCCCCAGGCCUAUGAGGACCUGGAGGAGGCAGCCUGCUAGGAGGAGGUGUGGGGUGUCGGAGAGCUCAGAGCUCUCGUACCAUCUUACCAGGCAGAAAGCAGAAGGAUCACUCUGCUCAGCUGCCUGUCAGCUGUGUGACCUUGUGAAGGUCCUGCUGCCUGUCUGGGCCUCAGGCACGGGCACUGGGCCUGUGUGUCCCUCCAGGGUCUGGCUCAGCCACCCUUUCCUGGGAGCCAGGUUCCCUUUAGGAAGGAAGGAACAACAUUCUGUAGCCUUUCCCAAGACGAGGGACGCCCAGGUCACCCUGGGUGGCAGGACCAGACCAGCCAGAACCCACCAGGAGGGGGUCCCCAUCCGUCCAGUGGGUGGAGGGAGCAGGCCUCAAGACCACGGGAUGUUCUGGGGCAGCAGGGAAACUGUGCUGUCAGAGGGCAGGGACCAGGUGGGCACUCGUGGCCCCUUUGGACACAUGUUGGCCUCCAACAAAAGACAGUCUUCCUCCCAGUGUCACCAGGGCAGAAGUCCCUCAGGGACGUCAUGGCCACUCCUGUCCAGACGGGAGUGAUCCAGUUGCCUGUAACGUUCUCCCAGAAGCCACGCUGCCCUUCUGCCUGCCUCCCUCCCCCUCCCCUCUGCUUCCUUUUCCCUUUCUGGGUGAUGGCUUUCUCCUGGGGGGCUGCUCCUGGGGAGUUCGGGGCUGUGCAGGCCCUCCACUGACUCGCCUGCCAGAGUCCCCGGGCCAACCCCAACCCCCGGCUCCCUGCAGCUCCCCUCCUCCCUCCAGGAGGUACCUCCGGAAGUCACGAAGCCCCUCGCGGCGCCGAGACUGACGGCCCUUUGGGGUGAGGUAGUAGGUUGUAUAGUUUGGGGCCCUGCCCUGCUAUGGGAUAACUAUGCAACCUACUGUCUUUCCUGAAGUGGCCGUAAUGCCGACAGCGGACGGCGCCAGGGCCCGGCUGGGCGGGGCCGGGGGCACAGUGGCUGCCGUGAAGUAAGAAAUCUGACUGGCCUGGAUUCCCACUUGCUGUGUGGCCUGCGGCAGGCCCCCUGACCUCUCUGGGCUUCAGUUUCCUGGUCUGUGAAAUAGGACAAGUGAGGCUUGAGGGAAAUACUGGGUGAAGUAUCCCAGGAGGGCAGGACUCAGAGUUGACCUCUCUCCCCACGCUGUGCUGAGAGCUGAUGGGUCCGACGGGCAGUUUGUGCGGCCCGGCCCCGUCCCCUGAGCCAGGCUCGUGGGCAGCCCCCGGUCUGGACUGUGCCCUCAGCUGCAUCCCUGUGGCCGGCCCUGGACCCCAGGAGGAGGGGUGCCAGCUGAGACUUCACUAGGGUGGCCGGACGGGAGGUGGGAGAGAAGAGUUACUCGGACACAGCCUGGCCCCUGAUGGGUACAGACCCGCUCCAUCGCCAACAACCUCAGGUAGACGGUGUGGGAAACAAGGUGCCGGCUGCAUCUUCCCUUCUGCCCUGUGCUGCCCAGCCCUCCGGCUUGGCUCUGGUGGCUGCGGACCACCCGGCAAGGCCGGGGCCGAGCGCGGGGCAGCCGCGGGGACGGCGGGCCCUCCCACAGCCCGGGUGCCGGCGGGGUGAGGUAGUAGGUUGUGUGGUUUCAGGGCAGUGAUGUUGCCCCCUCGGAAGAUAACUAUACAACCUACUGCCUUCCCUGAGGCGCCCAGCCGCGGCCCCACGGGAGGGCCCGCCCCCACGCUCGGCAGGUGACUCGGGGGCCUGAGCCCCAGGCCAGGUGGGCGGGAGGCUGCCCACCUUGAUCUCAAUAAAAGCUGUUCUGACGUCAA